UUGCUCGCUUCGGCAGCACAUAUACUAAAAUUGGAACAACACAGAGAUUAGCAUGGCCCCUGUGCAACGAUGACACGCAAAUUCGUGAAGCGUUUCAUAUUAAA
Molecule: small nuclear RNA, 104 nt
Filed under: Cebus imitator (Panamanian white-faced capuchin)
Lineage: Eukaryota; Metazoa; Chordata; Mammalia; Primates; Cebidae
Source: RNAcentral